Molecule: ribosomal RNA, 253 nt
Filed under: uncultured bacterium
Lineage: Bacteria
Description: partial 16S ribosomal RNA
Rfam family: Bacterial small subunit ribosomal RNA
Source: RNAcentral
UACGUAGGGAGCAAGCGUUGUCCGGAAUCAUUGGGCGUAAAGCGCGCGUAGGUGGCCCAGUAAGUCCGUUCUGAAAGUCACAGGCUCAACCUGUGACAGCGGAUGGAUACUGCUGGGCUAGAGUCCGGAAGAGGCGAGUGGAAUUCCUGGUGUAGCGGUGGAAUGCGCAGAUAUCAGGAGGAACACCAACGGCGAAGGCAGCUCGCUGGGACGGUACUGACACUGAGGCGCGAAAGCGUGGGGAGCGAACAGG